AAGUAGAGUGGGCAGGGGCUGUGCCCUUUGGGAAGGGAGAAGCCCCGCAUAUGCCCCUCCCCCAGCCAUAACUGGGAAUCACCUCUCUCUCUUUGCACAGGUCGAGGGAUAGCAGAAUAGCAGAGAUCAUCUGCCCUAGCUCCCUCUAGCCAGGAGCCUUACUCUGGGGUUCUCCCUGGGGAUUCAGACAGCAGCAGAGGUCUAGGCAGCAGGCAGCACUCUGUGCUGGCACAAUCCUCUCUUUCCUCUGAGCCAAGAAGAAAGAAAAAUACAUAAAUGGGCCUUGAUGGAAGAAGAGUCAACUGUCCACUGCUGCUCCCUGCAGACACAUAAGUUACAGCUUAAAAGACCUGAUCAGUCUGGAAAUCUGGAUGGCUGAGCCCAGGACUGAAUGGCAUUCCGAUCUGUCCUCGCUUUGCAGUGAUCCUACAGGCAGUUUGGAGGAAGAGGAGGAUACUCUCCAUUGACCUGAUGAUGGCUGAAAACAUCUAAGAAACAAAGACAAAGGGGAGGAAAGGACUGAAUUCAGGCUGGAAAAGGUGUCUGGCCUGUAAGAGAAAUACCUGGAGUUUUAAGCUGCAAGAGAGAGCAGUUUGCUUUCACGAAUCUCUGCAAUCUGCCUAAAACAAGAUUUACGAAGCAAUUAAGAUCCUUUAUGGAGUAACACAGCUUAGACAACAGAAGCCACCACUCAAGAUUGCCAGACUGAGAAGAAGCUAAGCUAUGGAAGCUGGGGGGUUUCUCUGAAGACUGGUUGUAAAUUCAGUGGAUGGGGCAUUGAUUGAUUAAAGCUGUGUGUUUGUAACCAGAAAGCAUGAGAAAGCCAGAAAUACAGUCUUGAGCAUGGCCCUGAGAGGGAGAAGAGAUAGAGCUCCUUGAGGCCCAGGACUGGCCAGAAAGCAGGCUUGAAAAUUGCAAGCAAGGAAUUUGUCCUGCUGUUGUUUGUUCCUGCUGUGUUCAUGGAAACGGGACUUUGUACAUUCUUUGUAAACAAACAGGAUUGCAUCAAAGAAAUCCCUGACUUGUAUCAUCCAUUUCUCCACCUAAUGGAAGAAUCCCAUCAUGGCCCAGAAUAAUGGCUAAUGUUUUUGAGCCAAAAGGCGCAAAAAUACUCUCUUUAAUAAAUCACUUUGAGACCUAUGGAUGAAAAGUUCUAAGUAUCAUUUAGCAAUAGCAGAACUUCCUCUAAACUGACAUCACAGCAAUAACAAAGACUGCCUAGACUGGCAAGAUUCUCUUUUUUACACAGUAUUUCAGUGUCCCAGGAUUCCUUGUGCUGACUAAAACAAUAAUCUGCUGGAUGAAAGAUUCACUACAGGUAACUGGAGGGCAUGUCUUUCACCAUUUUUCAUCAUGGACAGAAUCACCAGGUAGCAGUCUGGCCAAGCUGAAUACGGACAACAUGAUUAUGAGUGGCAGCCUUCAAGACACACAUGGUGCAACCAGUAUUGUUUAUUCCACAGCACACCCUAAUCAAGCAACAUUACUAACAGGCUUAUUAUCAUGGAAAUUGUGAGCUGAAAUAUUGAUUUCAGACCUGGUCUUAUCUGAAUCUGUUUGCCUUGUCCAUAAUUUACUGAUGGACCAAAAUGAAGAGUUGGUAAUAUUGUAACAAACCAGAGCUGAACAAAGGGUUAUAAUUAAUUAUUCUGCAUUAUUUAGGUGGGAACAGUCGUAUUUACCAGCUUGUCUACCCCUGAUCUUGACGGAAGGAGAGGGCACAGGACUGGGACAAAGAAAGGGUUUGGAGUGAGAGUGUGUGUAACCUAGAGAAAAAAGCAGAGUAGACAGACUUUGUUGCCCUUGUUGAAGUAAUAGGGGAGGGAAGACAAUUGGUUUGGUAGUUUAGGAAGAGAUUUGGGAGUUUUUCCAAGAUUUUUACCUUAGAAAGCAGGCUUGCCCUCUACAUCUAGUAUUGAUUAUAUAAGCCUGGAGGUGGCUGUUUGCACCCUUUCUUACAGAACCUGCACCUGGGAGAUGCAGGUAUUCACCCAGAUAGGAAUGGGACUAUAAAAAUAAGUCAUAGGAGGUUGCUCAUAGAACCCAAUUAAGGAAAGCUCUGCACAGAGUGAGAGUUACUAGAGAAACCCCAACUGAGAAACUGUUAGACUUCUCAGUAGUACACCAAGAUUUUCAGAAAUAAAUGCCUAGGUUGAAUAGAUACUGGAAUAUAUUCUCAUUAUAUCAGUAUAAAUACAAGACUCUGUUUGAUCUGCUUAUACCAGUUUUUCCUGACUCUCUUUCUAAGCCUUUUUAAGAGUUGUUACCAGUUUUCCUAUUGUUGUCUUUUUCCAGGAUGCAGAUAUUAAAGCUCCAGUUAUGUUUCAGCACUGUGUUGAGCAAGAUUUGCUACGGGACCAUGGACUAAGAAGAAUAAAAUUCCCACCAGCAGCACCAGUUCAGCCUUAAUCAUUACUUGUAUUAUGCUAAUGCUAAGAGCCUCCUACCAAAAGUCGGGCUGUACUGUCCUAAGCAGAGUACAAACAGAGUAAGAUAGAGUCACUGACCUGAAGAGCUUACAUUGUAAAUAAACCACACUAGUAGGAGUUGUAGUGUAGACACAACUCUGAUGGAGUCUGAUUUUUUCCACUGUGCCUAUUAAAACAGCAGUGUUAACUGACAUGGUGGUAAAAAUGCUAGAAGUUUACAAGUUCUUUGCUGCAGCCAGGGUUCUGUAUCUCUUUCCACACCGGGAAAUUAUAGCCCUGGUCCGAAAGCAUUUUCAGCUACACUGAAAGUGUUCUUGACAGCAUGGCUGUGCCAGCGACCAUGGGUAGGACACAAUUUAUUUUUUUUAAAUGUCAUGAGAAUGUUGUUUCCCCCAAUCACUAUUUUAUAAAGGUUUACCCUGCCCAUCCUGGCCAGCAAAGCAGUGCUGAAGAUGGUUCAGAACACAGUCCAUUUCCCAGACAGAUGGAGUUGCACCUGCUUGCUUUCCAAAUGCAGAUGAUGAAAAGGUUUCUGAGGGUAACUGGGGUCCAACUGAAUGUGUGGGUGUCAAAGCGAGCAUGAGUUGACUGCCUGGCUUUAAAGAGCAGUUUUGGGUAUGUCUGCACUUAGAAACCCUGUGAGGUGGGAAGGUCCCAAAGCUCAGGCUGCAUCCCAAGCCCAAACAUCUACACUGUAAUUAAACAGGCCCUUAGCGUUAGCCCCACAAGCCCAAGUCACCUGGCAUGGGCCAACUGUGGGUGUUUAACUGCAGGUCAGACGACUUAUCAUCCCAUAACACUAUCUCACUUCUCAUCCUAGUCAUUGGGAUGUUUGCAAAAAAGACACAGAAGGUCAGGACGACAGAUGACAGGAGCUUGCUUGUUUCUGGUUCAUCACCCAGAAUGAUUUGGCCAGUCAUCCUUUUGCUCCUGGCUUGGAACUCCUCUAGCACAGCCAUUUCCUUCAAGCACACGAACAGAGCAGGCCCCGUCAUAAAAGCCCAGCUGCUAUGCAACUGCUCACAAUUGCAGGAAAUCAACAGAACCAAA
Molecule: long non-coding RNA, 3479 nt
Organism: Chelonia mydas (Green sea turtle)
Lineage: Eukaryota; Metazoa; Chordata; Testudines; Cheloniidae
Exons: 3
Source: RefSeq, a predicted model, not a curated record